GAACAACCGAGUUAGGCAUUCCAAUCCCGCUCUCCCCACAUACUUCCAAAACUCAACCGGGAUUUCAUCUGGCCCGGUCGCUUUACCCCUACUCAUCUUACGCAAAGCUCCAAUGACCUCGUCAACCCUAAUGCGUCUGCAAUACCUAAAAUCUCGGGGAAUCUUCGAUAAAUUUUUGAACUAAAAAUCUUAAAUUAUUACUCUACUUACACACUUGCAUUUUCCUUUUUUACACUUCAUUUUCUUCAUUUUUUUUUUGUAUUCUUUAAUUAUGGUAGUUACUGUUUGAUAUUAUUGCAUGCCAUUUUAUUUAUGGUUCUUAUGUUUAGAUAACUAUUUACGCGAUUUCUGCUGGAGUUAC
RNAcentral lists this long non-coding RNA (361 nucleotides) under Nicotiana benthamiana. RNAcentral's name for it is "long non-coding RNA (NBEN_LNC008925)". The record is from RNAcentral. Lineage: Eukaryota; Viridiplantae; Streptophyta; Magnoliopsida; Solanales; Solanaceae.